AGAGGGUGCAAGCGUUAAUCGGAAUGACUGGGCGUAAAGGGCACGUAGGCGGUAACAUAAGUUAGUUGUGAAAGACCAGAGCUUAACUUUGGUAAGUCAACUAAAACUGUGUUACUAGAGUACAGUAGAGGUAAGAGGAAUUUCCGGUGUAGCGGUGAAAUGCGUAGAUAUCGGAAGGAACACCAAUGGCGAAGGCAACUUACUGGACUGUAACUGACGUUGGGGUGCGAAAGCGUGGGUAGCGAACAGGAUUAGAUACCCUGGGUAGUCCACGCCGUAAACGAUGAAAACUAGCUGUUUAGACCCGAGAGUCCCGAAGUAGCGAAGCAAACGCAAUAAGUUUUCCGCCUGGGGAGUACGACCGCAAGGUUA
This 372-nucleotide ribosomal RNA is filed under the name uncultured organism. RNAcentral describes it as "partial 16S ribosomal RNA". It matches the Rfam family "Bacterial small subunit ribosomal RNA", at positions 527 to 896 of the family's 1533-position model. The record is from RNAcentral.